UACAGAGGGUGCGAGCGUUAAUCGGAAUUACUGGGCGUAAAGCGCACGUAGUCGGCUUUGCAAGUCGGUUGUGAAAUCCCCGGGCUCAACCUGGGAACUGCAUCCGAGACUGCAUUGCUAGAGUAUGGGAGAGGGACGCGGAAUUCCAGGUGGAGCGGUGAAAUGCGUAGAGAUCUGGAAGAACACCAAAGGCGAAGGCAGCGUCCUGGGAAGCAUCUGACGCUCAGGUGCGAAAGCUAGGGGAGCGAACGGG
This 253-nucleotide ribosomal RNA is filed under the name uncultured bacterium. Its description in RNAcentral is "partial 16S ribosomal RNA". It matches the Rfam family "Bacterial small subunit ribosomal RNA", at positions 524 to 776 of the family's 1533-position model. The record is from RNAcentral.